AACGAACGCUGGCGGCAGGCUUAACACAUGCAAGUCGAACGGAUCCUUCGGGAUUAUUGGCAGACGGGUUAGUAACGCGUGGUAACGUACCCUUUGCUACGGAAUAACUCAGGGAAACUUGAGCUAAUACCGUAUGUGCCCUACGGGGGAAAGAUUUAUCGGCAAAGGAUCGGCCCGCAUUGGAUUAGAUAGUUGGUGGGGUAAUGGCAUACCAAGGCGACGUUCCAUAGCUGGUAUGAGAGGAAGAUCAGCCACACUGGGACUGAGACACGGACCAGACUACGACGGGAGGCAGGAGUGGGGAAUAUUGGAAAAUGGGCGGAAGCCUGAUCAAGCCAUGCCGGGUGAGUGAUGAAGGUCUUAGGAUUGAAAAGCUCUUUCACCGGUGAAGAUAAUGACGGUAGCAGGAGAAGAAGCCCCGGCUAACUUCGUG
This 433-nucleotide ribosomal RNA is filed under the name uncultured bacterium. Its description in RNAcentral is "partial 16S ribosomal RNA". It matches the Rfam family "Bacterial small subunit ribosomal RNA", at positions 29 to 507 of the family's 1533-position model. The record is from RNAcentral.